RNAcentral lists this ribosomal RNA (533 nucleotides) under uncultured bacterium. RNAcentral's name for it is "bacterial SSU rRNA". It matches the Rfam family "Bacterial small subunit ribosomal RNA", at positions 777 to 1320 of the family's 1533-position model. The record is from RNAcentral.
AAUAGAUACCCGGGUAGUCCACGCCGUAAACGAUGGAUACUAGCUGUUGGGGGCGACCUCAGUGGCUAAGCGAAAGUGAUAAGUAUCCCACCUGGGGAGUACGUUCGCAAGAAUGAAACUCAAAGGAAUUGACGGGGGCCCGCACAAGCGGUGGAGCAUGUGGUUUAAUUCGAUGAUACGCGAGGAACCUUACCAAGGCUUAAAUGCAGACUGACCGUUUUGGAAACAGAACUUUCGCAAGACAGUCUACAAGGUGCUGCAUGGUUGUCGUCAGCUCGUGCCGUGAGGUGUCAGGUUAAGUCCUAUAACGAGCGCAACCCCUGUUGUUAGUUGCCAGCGAGUAGUGUCGGGAACUCUAACAAGACUGCCAGUGCAAACUGUGAGGAAGGUGGGGAUGACGUCAAAUCAUCACGGCCCUUACGCCUUGGGCUACACACGUGCUACAAUGGCCGGUACAGAGAGCAGCCACCUCGCGAGAGGGAGCGAAUCUACAAAGCCGGUCACAGUUCGGAUCGGAGUCUGCAACUCGUACG